GCCGGGGUGGCUCAAUCGGUUAAGCAUCCGACUUUGGUUCAGGUCCUGAUCUCGUGGUUCGCGGGUCCAAGCCCCGCACCCGGCU
RNAcentral lists this transfer RNA (85 nucleotides) under Felis catus (domestic cat). It matches the Rfam family "tRNA". From Rfam's summary of the family: Transfer RNA (tRNA) molecules are approximately 80 nucleotides in length. The record is from Rfam by way of RNAcentral. Lineage: Eukaryota; Metazoa; Chordata; Mammalia; Carnivora; Felidae.